Molecule: non-coding RNA, 6094 nt
Organism: Pogona vitticeps (central bearded dragon)
Lineage: Eukaryota; Metazoa; Chordata; Lepidosauria; Squamata; Agamidae
Source: RefSeq, a predicted model, not a curated record
GACCCAUUUUCUUGGGAUGUAUAGGUAAGUCCCACUCAUGGUCCAAGGAGAGUGAAGAAGACAAGGGCUAGUCCCCUGUUGAUUUGGAGGAGAUGAGAAGAUUUUGGUAACAUAGCAGGGAACUGCCAUGAGACACACACUAAAUGACACAAUUUCCAGGAGGUAAGUAACAUAUCUUGCCUUGUGUUUCCAAGGAGGAAAAAGUCAAUCAAACUGUUGUUGGACUCUCAACUAAUUGAGUGUUCCCUGUUGAUUUGGAGGAGAUGAGAAGAUUUUGGUAACAUAGCAGGGAACUGCCAUGAGACACACACUAAAUGACACAAUUUCCAGGAGGUAAGCAACAUAUCUUGCCUUGUGUUUCCAAGGAGGAAAGAGUCAAUCAGACUGUUGUUGCACUCUCAACUAAUUGAGUGUUCCUUGUUGCCACAUUAAUGAGAUAUUGUCAGAUGGUUGUUUGUUUAGGUUUAGGAGCCAUAGGUUAUUUGAGUUUAUCUGGAGCUACCCAGGUGGAUAUCUGGGUGGGUGGGGGUUAUUUCAUUACUUGUAAUUUGAAAAUAUAACAUUUUCUCUGGAUAAAUAAGGAGCAGAACACACUUACAGCCUAACAAAACAGCAAAACCCAAAUCUUACCAUUACAGUACUUUUCCUUGUUCUUUUUUUUUUUCAGGUCAUUUGUACAUAAAUUGGUUAAGUGACCUUUCAUGUAAAGGAUGCAAUAGGAUCUGCCACACAGAAGCCUAUGGUAUAAAGCAUUUGUUAAUCCUUCAGGUCUUAUAGGGAUCUAACCAGAGAACCAGGAAGAGACUGGAUAAAGAAGAAGAAGAAGGGUGAUCUGUCAACAUCCUUUUAACCAACUGUAGUUUUGCAAGUAUGUUUUUUAGUGGCUGACUUUUGCUUUCACUAGUAGAAGUUCCUUUCAGUAUUUCUUCAAACAGAAAGAGAGAUGACAGACCAAUAAAAGUAAAAAUGCUAGGAAGAAGUCCGAAAAGUGUUCUCAAAAUAUUUUGGGAUGUUGAGGAAGAUGACAACAAACUGCUGGAAGUUAAAGAGUGACCAACCCAAUAAUAUGCACACCUCUGCACUUUGGUUAAGACUCAACAGGUAAGAAGCAUAGGUAAACAUUUUUAUCACUUUGUGCCAUUUGAAUGUAAUAUGUCAUUGCUGGUAUAUAAUAGCGUUGUUGCUCUUCUCCUGAGAGUUAUGAUUUUUUUUUAAAGCAAGUUAUAAAAAUACUAAUCAUGAUUGAUUAAUUAAUUCAUUUCAUUUCCUCCACGACUAUAUUCUUACAGUUAUUGAUCGCUGCAGUAUAUAGAUAAGUGUCCUGGCAGCUAUUUCUGUGCAUUUGUGAUUUUUUUGUGUCUGAUUCAAGAAACAAGAAAUGGCUGUGAGUACCUUCUGCUGGGCUUGAUUCAUGCCUCUUUAAAUCACAAAAGGAUUUUAGAUUCCAACCUAAAAAUGGAAAUUGACAACAAAACAUCUGAAAAACACCUGAAAGUGAAAGGGUCCUAGCAUCUUUUCUGAGCACAAUAUAGGAAACUGGUGGAGGGAUCAAGUUUUUUUCAUCAUCUUGGGGUGAGUCACUCAGUUUCCUUAUCAGGUAAUAAAAAAUAUGUCUUUCUCUGACCCAAAAAUUAUCCACAGGAUCAUCAACAAUUUUUUCUCUCUCUCUGUGGACAAUUAUGAUGCUUGCAGUCACUAAAGCUAUUUUAUUGCACAUCCUGGAUGUAUAGGUCAAACUUGUGGUCCAAGGAAAGUGAAGAUUACAAGGCUUAGUGCCCUGUUGAUUUGGAGGCAAUGAGGCACCUUUGGUAACAGAGCAGGAAACUACCACAAGACACACAUUAAGCAACAACUUUUCAAGAAGUAAGUAACAAAUCUUGCUUUGUGUUACCAUGGAGGAAAAAGUCAAUCAAACUGUUGUUGGACUCUCAACUAAUUGAGUGCUCCUUGUUGCCACAUUAAUGAAAUGUUGUCAGAUGAAUAUUUAUUUAGGUUUAGGAGCCAUAAGCUAUUUGAGUUUUUCUAACACUACACAAAUGGAUAUCUCAUUUGGCGGAGGUGGGAACAUUACUUCUAAUUUGAAAAGAUAACAUUAUCUCUGGAUGAAUAAGGAAUAGAAAAAUUACUAUUUUUUUCCUUGUUCUUUUUUCCUUGUUCCUUGGUCAGGUCAUAGGUAGACAAAGGAUGCAGCAGGAUCUGUCACACAGAAACAAGGAAAAUAUACGAUGUAUCAGGAAAUAUCCUUAAACACAAAAUAUUACCAAUAGCCAAUCCAAAGUGAAGACUUCCAGGAACUCCAAAACCAAAUGGAAAAAUGAAAACAAACUAAAUCAGGUGGUUUUUUAAAAAAUAAACAAAGAAUCUGGUAAGUGUUUCAAUACCUCUUUGGGUGCAUCUGUGACUUUUCUUCAUUGCCUGUGUAAUUCAAGAAACAGGAGGUGGCUGUGUGUACUUUCAGAUGGGCUUGGUUCAUACCCCUUUAAAUAAAAAAAGAGCUAACAUCCCAAUGUACAAAUUGAAACUAACAGCAAACACUGAAAUACUUCAGAAAGUGAAAGGGUUCUACUAACUUUUCUGAGUGCAAUGUACAAAACUGGUGGAGAGAUUAAUCUUUGUCCAUCCUCUUUGGGUAAGUCAUUCCUUUUUGUUGUAAGGUAAGAAAUACUUCUUUGUCCCCAAAAUUAUCCAGGGGAACCCAAAGCAUAUCUUUCUAUCUCCAUGGGCUAUGAUGAUGUCUGAAGUCUCUUUAAAAUGUGGAGGUUGUCAGACAGGUAGGAAAUGGUCAAGGAAUCUGGAAUAUGAAAUUAAAAUUGGGCUGAAAUUUUUCCACACUUUCAAUCGCAUUGAAGGAAUAAGCAGGUAAUUAAUUUAUUUUAUUUCUAGUGUUUUUAUUCCCAUGAAAACAAUGGUGAGUAUUCUCUCAGAAUAAAAUUAUUCCUUUUUGGGACUUGAAUAUCCACACUCCCCUAACAUUGUGAAUGCAGGGUUCUGGGAGAUGGACUAAAAGUGGCAGGAUCUGGAAUACAGAAUCUGGAAUAAAAAUUAGAAAUUGGUCUGAAAUAUUUGCACCAUUUCAAUCACCUUGAAGGAAUGAACAGGUUUGGCUGAUGGGAUGAGAUGGAAUUUAAGAAGACAUUUCUUCAUCUUAGAAAAUGAUAGAGAGAGUAGAUAAAGAAGGAGAAGGAUAACCUGUCAACAUCCUUUUAACCAACUGUAUUUUUGUAAGUACGUUUUUAGUGGCUGACUUUUGGUUUCACUAGCAGAAGUUCCUCUUGAGUAUUUCUUAGAGAGAGAGAGGAAAAGGCAGACGAAUAAAUUACAAGAUGCCAGGAAGGAGUGGGCAAAAAUUGAUUUCAAAUUGUUUGGGGAUGUGAAGAAAAAAUAGGAACCGAGUGCUGGUGAACCAGCCCAAUGAUAUGCACACCUCUGCACUUUGGUAAAGACUGAACAGGUAAGAAGCACAGAUAAGCAGCACAGUGACCUGCAAAGAUGGUCAAAAAACUCUGUUGUUUUUUUUAAAUCAGGACUUCUAAUUGCUGAUGGCAAAAGAUAAAUUUAUUUUUCCCAGCAAAAUAGCUAUAGAAUAUCUUCUCCCUGAAGUUAUUAACACCCAAAUACAGAAUGCUGUUUUUUAAAAGAGCAAAACAAAAACAACCAAGAAUAGAAGAAACUGGGAGGAAAAACAAUUUUUCUGUGCUUGACAGGAAUCAUGACUCUACUUUUAGCACCCAAGCUGUUUGCCUUCACUCUCCAGAUGCUGAGGUAAACAUUUUUAUCACUUUGUGCCAUUUGAAUGUAGUAUGUUGUUGGAGGUAUUUAAUAGCUUUGUUGCUCUUCUUCUGAGAGUUAUGAUGGGGGAGAGAAUAUUAAUCAUGAUGAAUUAAUUAAUUUAAUUUCCUCCAUUAAUGUAUUCUUACAGUUAUUGAUCGUUGCAGCAGGGAGACUGUGCUGGGAACUAGCCUCACAAUAAAGAAAUAUCUAAAACAAGAUUUUGCAAUAUAAAACACUUUUCACCUUAAGGUAAGAAAUGCCGUCUUUGAGAGGACAUGACUGAUCAUAAAUAAAUUUAUCUUUUGGUCUGAAUAAGGAAAAUAUCCAGUACUUCUGGAGAUAUCCAUAGAUGCUUAAUAUAACCAGUGCCUGAUCAAACAAGAGGCUUGUAAGACUUCCAAAGCGAAAUGGGAAAAUGGAAAUACAAACUAAAUAAGGUUGUUGUUGACAAACCAAGAAUAAGGUAAGUGUCCUGGCAGCUGUUUCUGUGCAUUUGUAACUUUUUGCCCUAUGUCUGUGUGAUUCAUGAAACAAGAGGUGGCUGUGUGUACCUUCUACUCAGUUUGAUUCAUGCUAGUUUAAGUAACCAAAAGUUCUUAUAUUGCAACAUAAAAAAUGGAAAUUAACAGCAAAAGUGAAAGGACCCUGGUAUAUUUUCUGAGUACAAUCUACAAAACUAGAUAGAGAUUAACAUCUAUGUAUCAGCUUUGAGUAAGUUACACAUUUUCAUUAUCAAAUAAGAAAAAUACCUCUCUCAUUGCCCCCCAAAUUAUCCAGGGGACCAUCAGCAAACUGCCCCUUUUUUCCCAGUGGACAGUGUUGAUGCCUGAAACCUCUUUAAAUGUGGAAGCUGCCAGCCAGGUCAUGCUGAAUGAAGCAUAGAUAAAAUACAGAAUAGAAUGUAAAAAUUGGUGUGAAAUUCUUGCAUUCCUUUGAGGAAUGAGCAGGUAAUUAAUUUAUUGUAUUUCUAGUGUUUUUAUUCCAAUAAAAAUAUUGAAAGUGCAUAUGCCAGUCAGAACAUAAUUGUUACAUUUUGAAACUUAAAUCUCCACAUUCCUCUAGCAUGGUGGAUGCACGAUUCUGGGAGAUAUAGUCACUUUUUAAAUUCUGAUUUCAAUUUCUGAACUUGUUUGCCAAUUUUUUUAGGUUUGACUACUUGCAUCAGGUGGAACUGCAGAAAAACUAUCCCAAAAAUAAUGACAUAUAUAAAACAGGAUUUGCACCAGAGAUCACUUUUCUCCCUGAGGUAAGAAAUGCCCUUUUUCAAAAAGUCUUGACCGAUCAUUAAUUUAUUUGGGUUUAUCUUUUGAAGGAAAAUAUCGGAUGCAUCAGGAAAUAUUCCUAAACAUGAAAUGAGACUAAUGGCUGAUCCAAAAUGGAGUCUUCUGGGAACUCCAAAACAAAAUGGAAAAAAUGGAAACACAAACUAAAUCACAUUUUUGUUGAUAAAUCACAAAUCAGGUACAUGUUCCAGUAUCUUUUUGGGUACAUCUAUGAUCUUCCCCCCUAUGUAUGUGUGACUCAAAAAAGAGGACAAUCUGAAAUACAAAUUAAAAAUUAGGCUGAAAUUUCUGCACUAUUUCAGUUACCUUUAAGGAAUGAGGGGGUAAUUAAUUCAUUUUAUUUUAUUGUUUUUAUUCUGAACUUCUCUUUUAGGUUGGACUCAUGUGAUCCGGAGGAACUCCAGAAGACCUUUGCCUCAUUUCUCUCAUAUAUCAUGCAACCGCACCAUUCAUAUUUAUGGCUGAGUCAAUUUUAGUAGGAAGGCUUUUUCUAGUUGUAAAAAGCAGCACCCUCUUGACAAUUGGUUUUGAGUGACUGGGAUGAACUCUCAACGCCCAGCAAACAAAAGCAAAAACCUCAAUUUAGAAAAAUUGCCCUUACUCUGAUAUUAGCAUCAUUGUUCUCUUGACAUAAAAGUAAGGAAACUUUGGUCCGCCAAAGAACCUGAAUCACUAUCAUCUGAUUUUCCUGAGGUUUUUUUUACUCCUAGCAUGGCUAUUGAUAAGGGAUUAUGGAAACUGUGGGCCAAAACACAGAGAAGGGCAGAGUUUCAAAUCCUACUAUUUUAAAGCAAUUUUCAGCUUCUCACCACAAGAUUGCUAGCUGCAGUUUGCUUGAUUAUGGUCUUUGCUGAUAUGCCCAGGGUAGCACUGAUUGCCAGUUUUGGGGUCAGGAAGGAAUUUUCCUCCAGAUCAAAUUGGCCGGAGAUCCUGGAGGUUUUUUGCCUUCCUCUGGGCAUCCGGCAGGGGUCAUGCAUUAGGGCAAUCAUAAUGAUUAAAAAUACUGUAUAAUGAAUAUGUAUUUGAAAGAAGCCAUAAAC